This 84-nucleotide transfer RNA is filed under the name human gut metagenome. It matches the Rfam family "tRNA". Rfam says of the family: Transfer RNA (tRNA) molecules are approximately 80 nucleotides in length. The record is from RNAcentral.
GAGAGAUGGCCGAGCGGUUGAUGGCGCUGGUCUUGAAAACCAGUGAUGUCGAAAGGCACCGGGGGUUCGAAUCCCUCUCUCUCC